This 253-nucleotide ribosomal RNA is filed under the name uncultured prokaryote. RNAcentral's name for it is "partial 16S ribosomal RNA". It matches the Rfam family "Bacterial small subunit ribosomal RNA", at positions 524 to 776 of the family's 1533-position model. The record is from RNAcentral.
UACGUAGGGACCAAGCGUUGUUCGGAUUUACUGGGCGUAAAGGGCGCGUAGGCGGCCUAACAAGUCACUUGUGAAAUCUCCGGGCUUAACUCGGAACGGUCAACUGAUACUGCUCGACUAGAGUGCGGAAGGGGCAACUGGAAUUCUUGGUGUAGCGGUGAAAUGCGUAGAUAUCGUAAGGAAGACCAGUGGCGAAGGCGGGUCUCUGGACAGUUCCUGACGCUGAGGCACGAAGGCCAGGGGAGCAAACGGG